CAAACGGGUGAGUAACGCGUAUGUAACCUACCCUGUACAGGGGGAUAACCCGGAGAAAUUCGGACUAAUAUCCCAUAACAAUAUUCAGAGGCAUCUUUGGAUAUUUAAAGUUCCGGCGGUACGGGAUGGGCGUGCGUAACAUUAGCUAGUUGGUAAGGUAACGGCCUACCAAGGCUUUGAUGUUUAGGGGUCCUGAGAGGGUGGUCCCCCACACUGGUACUGAGACACGGACCAGACUCCUACGGGAGGCAGCAGUGAGGAAUAUUGGUCAAUGGGCGCAAGCCUGAACCAGCCAUCCCGCGUGCAGGAAGACGGCCCUAUGGGUUGUAAACUGCUUUUCCAGGGAGAGAAACUUGCGCACGUGUUGCGCAAUUGGCGGUACCCUGGGAAUAAGCAUCGGCUAACUCCGUGCCAGCAGCCGCGGUAAUACGGAGGAUGCGAGCGUUAUCCGGAUUCACUGGGUUUAAAGGGUGCGUAGGCGGACUAUUAAGUCAGUGGUGAAGUCCUGCAGCUUAACUGCAGAACUGCCAUUGAUACUGAUAGCCUUGAGUUUGGUUAAGGUAGGCGGAAUGUGUAAUGUAGCGGUGAAUGCUUAGAUAUUACACAGAACACCAAUUGCGUAGGCAGCUUACUGAGCCGACACUGACGCUGAGGCACGAAAGCGUGGGGAUCGAACAGGAUUAGAUACCCUGGUAGUCCACGCCGUAAACUAUGAUUACUCGCUGUUGGCGAUACACUGUCAGCGGCUAAGCAAAAGCAAUAAGUAAUCCACCUGGGGAGUACGGCCGCAAGGUUGAAACUCAAAGGAAUUGACGGGGGCCCGCACAAGCGGAGGAACAUGUGGUUUAAUUCGAUGAUACGCGAGGAACCUUACCUGGGCUUAAAUGUAAGAGUG
This 895-nucleotide ribosomal RNA is filed under the name uncultured bacterium. RNAcentral describes it as "bacterial SSU rRNA". It matches the Rfam family "Bacterial small subunit ribosomal RNA", at positions 99 to 995 of the family's 1533-position model. The record is from RNAcentral.